GAUGAACGCUGGCGGCGUGCCUAACACAUGCAAGUCGAACGGAGUCCAGCCUUUAAGACCUUCGGGUCAAAGAGGGGAAGACUGAGUGGCGGACGGGUGAGUAACACGUGGGCAACCUGGCUCAUAGAGGGGGAUAACAGAGAGAAAUUUCUGCUAAUACCGCAUAAGCACACACUGCCGCAUGGCAGAGGGUGAAAAGAGAAUCGCUAUGAGAUGGACCCGCGUCUGAUUAGCCAGUUGGCAGGGUAAGAGCCUACCAAAGCGACGAUCAGUAGCCGAUCUGAGAGGAUGAACGGCCACAUUGGGACUGAGACACGGCCCAAACUCCUACGGGAGGCAGCAGUGGGGGAUAUUGCACAAUGGGGGGAACCCUGAUGCAGCGACGCCGCGUGAGUGAAGAAGUACUUCGGUAUGUAAAGCUCUAUCAGCAGGGAAGAUAAUGACAGUACCUGAAUAAGAAGCCCCGGCUAACUACGUG
RNAcentral lists this ribosomal RNA (478 nucleotides) under uncultured bacterium. Its description in RNAcentral is "partial 16S ribosomal RNA". It matches the Rfam family "Bacterial small subunit ribosomal RNA", at positions 28 to 507 of the family's 1533-position model. The record is from RNAcentral.